ACAGCAGUAGCCGCGGGAAUACAGAGGGUGCGAGCGUUAAUCGGAUUUACUGGGCGUAAAGCGUGCGUAGGCGGCUUCUUAAGUCGGAUGUGAAAUCCCUGAGCUUAACUUAGGAAUUGCAUUCGAUACUGGGAAGCUAGAGUAUGGGAGAGGAUGGUAGAAUUCCAGGUGUAGCGGUGAAAUGCGUAGAGAUCUGGAGGAAUACCAAUGGCGAAGGCAGCCAUCUGGCCUAAUACUGACGCUGAGGUACGAAAGCAUGGGGAGCAAACAGGAUUAGAUACCCGUGUAGUCCCUGUCUCUUAUAA
RNAcentral lists this ribosomal RNA (305 nucleotides) under uncultured bacterium. Its description in RNAcentral is "partial 16S ribosomal RNA". It matches the Rfam family "Bacterial small subunit ribosomal RNA", at positions 508 to 809 of the family's 1533-position model. The record is from RNAcentral.